This 253-nucleotide ribosomal RNA is filed under the name uncultured bacterium. RNAcentral describes it as "partial 16S ribosomal RNA". It matches the Rfam family "Bacterial small subunit ribosomal RNA", at positions 524 to 776 of the family's 1533-position model. The record is from RNAcentral.
UACGUAGGUGGCAAGCGUUGUCCGGAUUUACUGGGCGUAAAGGGAGCGUAGGUGGACUUUUAAGUGAGAUGUGAAAUACUCGGGCUCAACCCGAGAACUGCAUUUCAAACUGGAAGUCUAGAGUGCAGGAGAGGAAAGUGGAAUUCCUAGUGUAGCGGUGAAAUGCGUAGAUAUUAGGAAGAACACCAGUGGCGAAGGCGACUUUCUGGACUGUAACUGACACUGAGGCUCGAAAGCGUGGGGAGCAAACAGG